AUCUAGAUGAUGAGUCCCAAACAGGACGAAAUGCGUAUAUCCUGGAU
Molecule: non-coding RNA, 47 nt
Filed under: Trichobilharzia regenti
Lineage: Eukaryota; Metazoa; Platyhelminthes; Trematoda; Strigeidida; Schistosomatidae
Source: RNAcentral